Molecule: long non-coding RNA, 3054 nt
Organism: Cyprinus carpio carpio
Lineage: Eukaryota; Metazoa; Chordata; Actinopteri; Cypriniformes; Cyprinidae
Source: Ensembl
GUCUUAUCACAAGAUGUCUCAUCACAUCAUGAUCACUGCGGUGGCUGUUUCUACACCCUGCACUAAUGGAAUGUGAUCUGCAGAUCGCUCGUAAUCCUAUGCUAAUGUACACAUCUAAAGCAGUGAAUCCAGGCUUGCAGGAUAUUAUUCUUUUUUUGAGGACAGCGGGAUUAGUGAAGAGACAGAAUAGCUCAGAUUGACUGGGUCAAGUCUUUCAGAACCCACAUUUUAACAGGCAUCUAGCAGCCUAAAAAUGUGAUAUCCUAUAUAUAUAUAUAGGCACUAAGCACUAAUAAUAAUAUAUAUAGGCUAAUAAGCACUAAUAAUAUAUAUAUAUUAUUAGUGCUUAUUGCAUACAGGCAUUUAGAUAAAGGAAUAGAAACAAAUCCAUCGAUGAAGAAACAAACUCAUCUAUUUCAUUUUUGGGUGAACUAUUCCAUAAGUAAAAUGAAUGCAUGAGAGUGCAAGACCAAUUUCAACAUAUUUCUUCAUUAUUUCACCAGGGUUUGAAAGGGUCUACAGGAGACCAGGGACAUGAGGGUCCAGCAGGAUCUAAAGGUGAUCGAGGGACGGUUGGUGCAUCUGGUCCGCCGGGAGAUACUGGAGUCGGAUUCCCUGGUCCAAAGGUAAACUUCUCAGGACUUUUGAAAGAAUAAUACUUUUAAUUAGAAAGGAUACAUUGAAUUGAUCAUAAGUGACAGUAAAGAUAUAUAUCAUGUUACAAAAGAUUUCUAUUUCAAAUAAAUGCUGUUCUUUUGAACUUUAUAUUCAUCAAAGAAUCCUGAAAAAAAUUGAAUUUCUGAAUGAUCAUGUGACACAGAAGACUAGAGUACCGUGCUGAAAAUUCAGCUUUAAAUCAGUAUGAGAGACAGUAUGAUAAUAUAAACAUAAAAAAAAAAAACUAUCAGUUAUAUACAAUCCUAGAUCAACAUUUUAUUACAUGGAUGUUGCUUUUUGCCUUGAGAUCCCUUAAAACUAUUUGCUGUGUUGUUCUAGGGAGACAGAGGAAACCAAGGACGAACAGGUCUUCCUGGUCCGGUCAGCACAGGUCAGCCAGGACAACCUGUGAGUAACAACAGCUUAUAUGACUUUAAAACAUGCAUCUAUAGAUUAUAAUGACUUAAUGAUACAUGCAUCAAUGAAGGGUCCUCCAGGUUUAUCAGGAGCACAGGGGAACCCAGGAGCUCCAGGCGAAGGACUUCCUGGGCCAAAGGUGAGCAGCUUUAGUUGUUGUAGGAACAUUUUAUAAUCUAAAGAACUUUUUUUCCACUAUAAAGAACCUUUUGACGAAUGGAAAGCUUCCAUGGAGGUUAAAGGUUCUUCAUGAACCAUAGAUGCCAAUAAAGAGCAUUUAUGCCUAAGAGUUUGAAAAAUCAUCUCAGUUCAGUUCAGACCUUUAUAAUGGUCGUGUAAACAAAGACACUGAAAUAUCACUUUUGAAUCUGUUAUUGUGUUUGUGUCUUAGGGUGACCACGGCUAUAUCGGCCCUACAGGUAGACGUGGACCCCCAGGUUAUGGAAUUAAAGGUGAAAAGGUAUGUUGCAGUUGCGUGAGACUAUUAGAAGUCUAUGUAAAAGUCUAUUAUGAAUUUAAUUUAGCUGUUAAAUCCAUUCUUGUAGGGCAAUGCGGGACCUCCUGGAUCACCGGGACUAUUAGGAAUGCCUGGCAGGGGCAUUCAAGGAGAGAAAGUAUUUGUUAUUUUUCAGUUUUUUUUCUUUUGAUUCCAAUAUUGUUGUACUAGUGCUGCUACAGUAGCUGAGACCAGCUACACUAGUACUAGUGCUCAUACAUAGGGUCAAUAAUCAUUAAACCCAUAACUCAAAAUCACAAGCAUGGUUUGUGCUACAGACACUAAUGAUACCUCAAAUCAUGCAGCUUGCUGGAAGAAGUGUGCUAUUACUUUUCUAAAUGAAUGGAAAUACUUGCAACCACUUGAAAUAUCCUAGAAGACCCUAGCAACCAUUACAAAGGUCUGACCAACCACCAGAAGACCCAAGCAACCAUUUAUUUUCACCUUUAUCUUUAUAUCUAAAGGGGAAUCAGGGACCAGCCGGUCCUUCUGGUCAAAGAGGGAAUCCUGGGAUAGGACUCGCUGGACCAAAGGUAUAACUGCGCCAUAAAAACUGCUAUCUAUCUAUCUAUCUAUCUAUCUAUCUAUCUAUCUAUCUAUCUAUCUAUCUAUCUAUCUAUCUAUCUAUCUAUAAACAAUGUGUUUUCGUUUUGUUUCCUCUCAGGGAGAACAGGGCUUCCCUGGAGAUCUUGGAGCCCCUGGAGAAAGAGGUAUUGGAGAACCAGGACCUAAAGUGAGUUGUUGUUUCAACUAAAUUGUAACAUGGCAUGAAAGAACAGAAUAAAGUAUCAAAUAGUGAAAUCAGAGUUGUGUUUAUGGCUGAUGCUGUAGGGUGAAUCUGGAUUGCGAGGUUUACCAGGUGGACCAGGUGUACCGGGAGAAGAUGGAGCCAUUGGAUCAAAGGUCAGAAUGCUCUUACUGGCAAGUUAGUGAGAGAUAGCUUUAUAUCAGAAACAUUCAAUGUCUUUGAAUAUGCUGUAAGAUAUCUCAUUUAUUUUAGGGUGAUAUAGGCUUACCGGGACCCAAGGGACAAGACGGACCUCCAGGAAGAGGCCUGCCAGGAGAGAAAGUAAUGUGUAUAUGGAUGUGCUUUAUUGAUUUGUCAAAGAAAACUGAAGAUUAUACCAUUAUUGUAUAUGUAUAUAUACAGUGGGUAUAGAAAAGAAUCACCUUCUUUAAAAUAAUCACAUUUUGUUGCUUUGCAGCCUGAAAUGAACAUGGACACAGUUUUUAUCCAGCUGUAUUUACCCAGUGCAACUUAUAACAUCCAAGUGAAAGAUAAAACACCAACAAGUCAGAAAAAAAAACAACAACAACAAAAAACAGAAUCACUGAGUUGGAAAAAGUAUCAUUUGACCAUUUGACAAGAAAUGCAAAAAAAGAAAAAGAAAAAAAGAAAGAAACACUGUGUCCAUCCUCAUUUCAGGUUGCAAAGCAACAAAAUGUGAUUAUUUUAAAGGGGGAGAUUUUUCAGUACCCACUGU